CCUACGGGUGGCUGCAGUGGGGAAUAUUGGACAAUGGGCGAAAGCCUGAUCCAGCCAUGCCGCGUGUGUGAAGAAGGCCUUCGGGUUGUAAAGCACUUUCAGUGGGGAAGAAAGCCUUGGGGCUAAUACCCUCGAGGAAGGACAUCACCCGCAGAAGAAGCACCGGCUAACUCCGUGCCAGCAGCCGCGGUAAUACGGAGGGUGCGAGCGUUAAUCGGAAUUACUGGGCGUAAAGCGCGCGUAGGCGGUCUGAUAAGCCGGUUGUGAAAGCCCCGGGCUCAACCUGGGAACGGCAUCCGGAACUGUCAGGCUAGAGUGCAGGAGAGGAAGGUAGAAUUCCCGGUGUAGCAGUGAAAUGCGUAGAGAUCGGGAGGAAUACCAGUGGCGAAGGCGGCCUUCUGGACUGACACUGACGCUGAGGUGCGAAAGCGUGGGUAGCAAACAGGAUUAGAUACCCCGGUAGUC
RNAcentral lists this ribosomal RNA (465 nucleotides) under Vreelandella stevensii. Its description in RNAcentral is "partial 16S ribosomal RNA". It matches the Rfam family "Bacterial small subunit ribosomal RNA", at positions 338 to 795 of the family's 1533-position model. The record is from RNAcentral. Lineage: Bacteria; Pseudomonadati; Pseudomonadota; Gammaproteobacteria; Oceanospirillales; Halomonadaceae.